UAAAUCAGUUAUCGUUUAUUUGAUAGUACCUUACUACUUGGAUAACCGUGGUAAUUCUAGAGCUAAUACAUGCUAAAAACCCCGACUUCGGGAGGGGUGUAUUUAUUAGAUAAAAAACCAACGCCCUUCGGGGCUCUUUGGUGAUUCAUGAUAACUUAACGGAUCGCAUGGCCUUGCGCCGGCGACGGUUCAUUCAAAUUUCUGCCCUAUCAACUUUCGAUGGUAAGGUAUUGGCUUACCAUGGUUUCAACGGGUAACGGGGAAUUAGGGUUCGGUUCCGGAGAGGGAGCCUGAGAAACGGCUACCACAUCCAAGGAAGGCAGCAGGCGCGCAAAUUACCCAAUCCCGACACGGGGAGGUAGUGACAAUAAAUACUGAUACAGGGCUCUUUUGGGUCUUGUAAUUGGAAUGAGUACAAUUUAAACCCCUUAACGAGGAACAAUUGGAGGGCAAGUCUGGUGGAAACUUCGGUUUUCUGUAUGCUGACGCCAGACAGAGUGGGGUGCAAGCCCUGCUAGUCGAGCACCUGUUUGUGGUGGGUAGGUGCUGGCGAGGUAACCUGGUACGGGAGAGCGAGAGUGAUCCCGUGGUGAGCGACCCGUGUCGCCGCCGUAACGCGCGCACAGGUAUCGGCCCCCCCAGGGGGCUCAAGGGACGCGCUGUUCCCCGUGCUGUCAAGCACGCCUCCCGCCGAAAGCACCCACCGUGCAAUGGCGCGAGGGCCGCCUUUUAUGGGUGGUGGAGAGAUUGAACGAGGCCAGCAGCCGCGGUAAUUCCAGCUCCAAUAGCGUAUAUUAAAGUUGUUGCAGUUAAAAAGCUCGUAGUUGAACCUUGGGCCUGGCUGGCCGGUCCGCCUCACCGCGUGUACUGGUCCGGCCGGGCCUUUCCUUCUGGAGAGCCGCAUGCCCUUCACUGGGUGUGUUGGGGAACCAGGACUUUUACUUUGAAAAAAUUAGAGUGUUCAAAGCAGGCCUUUGCUCGAAUACAUUAGCAUGGAAUAAUAGAAUAGGACGUGCGGUCCUAUUUUGUUGGUUUCUAGGACCGCCGUAAUGAUUAAUAGGGAUAGUCGGGGGCAUCAGUAUUCAAUUGUCAGAGGUGAAAUUCUUGGAUUUAUUGAAGACUAACUACUGCGAAAGCAUUUGCCAAGGAUGUUUUCAUUAAUCAGUGAACGAAAGUUAGGGGAUCGAAGACGAUCAGAUACCGUCGUAGUCUUAACCGUAAACUAUGCCGACUAGGGAUCGGGCGAUGUUACUAUUUUGACUCGCUCGGCACCUUACG
RNAcentral lists this ribosomal RNA (1278 nucleotides) under Caryospora sp. WD-2020d. RNAcentral's name for it is "SSU rRNA". It matches the Rfam family "Eukaryotic small subunit ribosomal RNA", at positions 102 to 1092 of the family's 1831-position model. Lineage: Eukaryota; Fungi; Ascomycota; Dothideomycetes; Zopfiaceae. The record is from RNAcentral.